Molecule: ribosomal RNA, 714 nt
Filed under: uncultured Bacteroidales bacterium
Lineage: Bacteria; Pseudomonadati; Bacteroidota; Bacteroidia; Bacteroidales
Description: bacterial SSU rRNA
Rfam family: Bacterial small subunit ribosomal RNA
Source: RNAcentral
ACAGGCUUAACACAUGCAAGUCGAGGGCAGCAUGGUCUUAGCUUGCUAAGGCUGAUGGCGACCGGCGCACGGGUGAGUAACACGUAUCCAACCUGCCGUCUACUCUUGGCCAGCCUUCUGAAAGGAAGAUUAAUCCAGGAUGGCAUCAUGAGUUCACAUGUCCGCAUGAUUAAAGGUAUUUUCCGGUAGACGAUGGGGAUGCGUUCCAUUAGAUAGUAGGCGGGGUAACGGCCCACCUAGUCAACGAUGGAUAGGGGUUCUGAGAGGAAGGUCCCCCACAUUGGAACUGAGACACGGUCCAAACUCCUACGGGAGGCAGCAGUGAGGAAUAUUGGUCAAUGGGCGAUGGCCUGAACCAGCCAAGUAGCGUGAAGGAUGACUGCCCUAUGGGUUGUAAACUUCUUUUAUAAAGGAAUAAAGUCGGGUAUGCAUACCCGUUUGCAUGUACUUUAUGAAUAAGGAUCGGCUAACUCCGUGCCAGCAGCCGCGGUAAUACGGAGGAUCCGAGCGUUAUCCGGAUUUAUUGGGUUUAAAGGGAGCGUAGAUGGAUGUUUAAGUCAGUUGUGAAAGUUUGCGGCUCAACCGUAAAAUUGCAGUUGAUACUGGAUGUCUUGAGUGCAGUUGAGGCAGGCGGAAUUCGUGGUGUAGCGGUGAAAUGCUUAGAUAUCACGAAGAACUCCGAUUGCGAAGGCAGCCUGCUAAGCUGCAACUGAC